AACCCAUUGAAAGGAGGUGAUCCAGUGUCAAGAAAGAUAGUGGAGAAGACAGUCGGGACAACUUGGGGGGUUCGCGUCUAGGGCAGCCCCUAAACGUCUGAUAACCUUAGGUUGAUGCGUCUAACCGACCUCACCUCCUGAUCCUUUCGGAAGGCCGCCCUCGCACUUUGGGGGCGGCCU
This 180-nucleotide unclassified non-coding RNA is filed under the name Jannaschia helgolandensis. Its description in RNAcentral is "caulobacter sRNA CC2171". The record is from RNAcentral. Lineage: Bacteria; Pseudomonadati; Pseudomonadota; Alphaproteobacteria; Rhodobacterales; Roseobacteraceae.